CUUUCCUGCUUCGGGCAAUUCAUCUUCACUGAACCACAGGUUGCUGCAGGCGGUAAUGUUCCCCACUAUGCUACCAAAGUGAUCCACAGUUACUUCAUGAUCCACAUAAGCCUGCUCCAAUACUUUCAAAAGGGUAUCUCUGUGAGCAGCGGAACUCAGGAGUAGAGACAAAAUGGAUAUCUUCGACGGAGUUUGCAGCAGCUGAUCUACAAUCUUAUAAUCACUUCUUUUGAUCAACCUCAAAAUCUCGUCCAGAUUAGAAUCCUCUAUAGACCGGCCUGGUUGGCUCGCGUCUCUGUUAACGGGAGAAACAUCAGUCGGGGUUGGCUUGUCAAUGGGUGGCACGGUAGGC
This 352-nucleotide long non-coding RNA is filed under the name Medicago truncatula (barrel medic). RNAcentral's name for it is "long non-coding RNA (MTRU_LNC008483)". Lineage: Eukaryota; Viridiplantae; Streptophyta; Magnoliopsida; Fabales; Fabaceae. The record is from RNAcentral.